GGUCGUUUAGCUCAGUUGGUUUAGAGCGCCGCCUUGACAGGGCGGAGGUCACUGGUUCGAAUCCAGUAACGACCACUA
This 78-nucleotide transfer RNA is filed under the name Bacteroidota bacterium. RNAcentral's name for it is "Bacteroidetes bacterium tRNA-Val". It matches the Rfam family "tRNA". From Rfam's summary of the family: Transfer RNA (tRNA) molecules are approximately 80 nucleotides in length. Their secondary structure includes four short double-helical elements and three loops (D, anti-codon, and T loops). Further hydrogen bonds mediate the characteristic L-shaped molecular structure. tRNAs have two regions of fundamental functional importance: the anti-codon, which is responsible for specific mRNA codon recognition, and the 3' end, to which the tRNAs corresponding amino acid is attached (by aminoacyl-tRNA synthetases). tRNAs cope with the degeneracy of the genetic code in two manners: having more than one tRNA (with a specific anti-codon) for a particular amino acid; and 'wobble' base-pairing, i.e. permitting non-standard base-pairing at the 3rd anti-codon position. Lineage: Bacteria; Pseudomonadati; Bacteroidota. The record is from RNAcentral.